RNAcentral lists this ribosomal RNA (446 nucleotides) under uncultured bacterium. RNAcentral's name for it is "partial 16S ribosomal RNA". It matches the Rfam family "Bacterial small subunit ribosomal RNA", at positions 338 to 795 of the family's 1533-position model. The record is from RNAcentral.
CCUACGGGUGGCAGCAGUCGAGAAUCAUUCACAAUGGGGGAAACCCUGAUGGUGCGACGCCGCGUGGGGGAAUGAAGGUCUUCGGAUUGUAAACCCCUGUCAUGUGGGAGCAAAUUAAAAAGAUAGUACCACACGAGGAAGAGACGGCUAACUCUGUGCCAGCAGCCGCGGUAAUACAGAGGUCUCAAGCGUUGUUCGGAAUCACUGGGCGUAAAGCGUGCGUAGGCUGUUUCGUAAGUCGUGUGUGAAAGGCGCGGGCUCAACCCGCGGACGGCACAUGAUACUGCGAGACUAGAGUAAUGGAGGGGAAACCGGAAUUCUCGGUGUAGCAGUGAAAUGCGUAGAUAUCGAGAGGAACACUCGUGGCGAAGGCGGGUUCCUGGACAUUAACUGACGCUGAGGCACGAAGGCCAGGGGAGCGAAAGGGAUUAGAUACCCUUGUAGUC